ACUCCUACGGGAGGCAGCAGUGGGGAAUUUUGGACAAUGGGCGAAAGCCUGAUCCAGCCAUUCCGCGUGCAGGAUGAAGGCCCUCGGGUUGUAAACUGCUUUUGUACAGAACGAAAAGGUUUCUAUUAAUACUAGGAGCUCAUGACGGUACUGUAAGAAUAAGCACCGGCUAACUACGUGCCAGCAGCCGCGGUAAU
RNAcentral lists this ribosomal RNA (197 nucleotides) under uncultured bacterium. RNAcentral's name for it is "partial 16S ribosomal RNA". It matches the Rfam family "Bacterial small subunit ribosomal RNA", at positions 335 to 524 of the family's 1533-position model. The record is from RNAcentral.